Molecule: ribosomal RNA, 775 nt
Filed under: uncultured bacterium
Lineage: Bacteria
Description: bacterial SSU rRNA
Rfam family: Bacterial small subunit ribosomal RNA
Source: RNAcentral
CAUGGCUCAGAAUGAACGCUGGCGGCGUGCCUAACACAUGCAAGUCGGAUGUGCCGCAAGGUGCAUGGCAGACGGGUGAGUAACGCGUGGGGAAUCUACCUCUUUGUGGGGAAUAACGCUCCGAAAGGAGUGGUAAUACCGCAUGAGAUCCAUGGCUGGGAUGCUGUGGAUGAAACCUGGGGACCGCAAGGCCUGGGGCAAGGAGAGGAUCCUGCGUCUGAUUAGCUAGUUGGUGAGGUAACGGCCCACCAAGGCAACGAUCAGUAGCCGGCCUGAGAGGGUGAUCGGCCACACUGGAACUGAGACACGGUCCAGACUCCUACGGGAGGCAGCAGUGGGGAAUUUUGCGCAAUGGGCGAAAGCCUGACGCAGCAACGCCGCGUGGGUGAUGAAGGUCUUCGGAUCGUAAAACCCUGUCGUCGGGGACGAAGGUUUGGGCGUUAAUAGCGCUUAAGCUUGACGGUACCCGGAGAGGAAGCCCCGGCUAACUCUGUGCCAGCAGCCGCGGUAAUACAGAGGGGGCAAGCGUUAUUCGGAAUUAUUGGGCGUAAAGGGCGCGUAGGCGGCUUUUUAAGUGAGAUGUGUAAUCCCCGAGCUCAACUUGGGAACUGCAUCUCAUACUGGGAGGCUAGAGUACUGGAGAGGGUGGUAGAAUUCCACGUGUAGCGGUGAAAUGCGUAGAGAUGUGGAGGAAUACCAGUGGCGAAGGCGGUCACCUGGACAGUAACUGACGCUGAGGCGCGAAAGUGUGGGUAGCAAACAGGAUUAGAUACCC